GUUCCAGAAGUUAUUCCGACAAGACCUUCUUGUUGCCAGCCUAUUCCGCAACUUUCUAUUGGCCGAGAGGAUUAUGAGGUCGUAUAACUGUACGCCGGUGAGCAGCCCCCGGUUGCCCCCUACGUUCAUGCACGCCAUGUGGCAGGCCUGGGACCUCGCAGUGGACAUUUGUCUCUCCCAGUUGCCCACCAUCAUUGAUGAGGGGACGGCGUUCCGGCACAGCCCUUUCUUUGCUGAGCAACUGACGGCGUUCCAGGUCUGGUUGACUAUGGGCGUAGAGAACAGGAACCCCCCGGAGCAGCUGCCCAUUGUUCUACAGGU
Hyla sarda is the source of this 321-nucleotide long non-coding RNA. RefSeq lists it as uncharacterized. The record is from RefSeq and is a predicted model, not a curated record. Lineage: Eukaryota; Metazoa; Chordata; Amphibia; Anura; Hylidae. The transcript has 3 exons.